RNAcentral lists this ribosomal RNA (1380 nucleotides) under Salmonella enterica subsp. enterica serovar Muenchen. RNAcentral describes it as "partial 23S ribosomal RNA". It matches the Rfam family "Bacterial large subunit ribosomal RNA", at positions 1439 to 2802 of the family's 2925-position model. The record is from RNAcentral. Lineage: Bacteria; Pseudomonadati; Pseudomonadota; Gammaproteobacteria; Enterobacterales; Enterobacteriaceae.
CCGUACUUGGUGUUACUGCGAAGGGGGGACGGAGAAGGCUAUGUUGGCCGGGCGACGGUUGUCCCGGUUUAAGCGUGUAGGUGUGUGUUCCAGGUAAAUCCGGUUCACUUUAACACUGAGGCGUGAUGACGAGGCACUACGGUGCUGAAGCAACAAAUGCCCUGCUUCCAGGAAAAGCCUCUAAGCAUCAGGUAACAUCAAAUCGUACCCCAAACCGACACAGGUGGUCAGGUAGAGAAUACCAAGGCGCUUGAGAGAACUCGGGUGAAGGAACUAGGCAAAAUGGUGCCGUAACUUCGGGAGAAGGCACGCUGACACGUAGGUGAAGUGAUUUACUCAUGGAGCUGAAGUCAGUCGAAGAUACCAGCUGGCUGCAACUGUUUAUUAAAAACACAGCACUGUGCAAACACGAAAGUGGACGUAUACGGUGUGACGCCUGCCCGGUGCCGGAAGGUUAAUUGAUGGGGUCAGCGCAAGCGAAGCUCCUGAUCGAAGCCCCGGUAAACGGCGGCCGUAACUAUAACGGUCCUAAGGUAGCGAAAUUCCUUGUCGGGUAAGUUCCGACCUGCACGAAUGGCGUAAUGAUGGCCAGGCUGUCUCCACCCGAGACUCAGUGAAAUUGAACUCGCUGUGAAGAUGCAGUGUACCCGCGGCAAGACGGAAAGACCCCGUGAACCUUUACUAUAGCUUGACACUGAACAUUGAGCCUUGAUGUGUAGGAUAGGUGGGAGGCUUUGAAGUGUGGACGCCAGUCUGCAUGGAGCCGACCUUGAAAUACCACCCUUUAAUGUUUGAUGUUCUAACGUGGACCCGUUACCCGGGUUGCGGACAGUGUCUGGUGGGUAGUUUGACUGGGGCGGUCUCCUCCUAAAGAGUAACGGAGGAGCACGAAGGUUGGCUAAUCCUGGUCGGACAUCAGGAGGUUAGUGCAAUGGCAUAAGCCAGCUUGACUGCGAGCGUGACGGCGCGAGCAGGUGCGAAAGCAGGUCAUAGUGAUCCGGUGGUUCUGAAUGGAAGGGCCAUCGCUCAACGGAUAAAAGGUACUCCGGGGAUAACAGGCUGAUACCGCCCAAGAGUUCAUAUCGACGGCGGUGUUUGGCACCUCGAUGUCGGCUCAUCACAUCCUGGGGCUGAAGUAGGUCCCAAGGGUAUGGCUGUUCGCCAUUUAAAGUGGUACGCGAGCUGGGUUUAGAACGUCGUGAGACAGUUCGGUCCCUAUCUGCCGUGGGCGCUGGAGAACUGAGGGGGGCUGCUCCUAGUACGAGAGGACCGGAGUGGACGCAUCACUGGUGUUCGGGUUGUCAUGCCAAUGGCACUGCCCGGUAGCUAAAUGCGGAAGAGAUAAGUGCUGAAAGCAUCUAAGCACGAAACUUGCCCCGA